RNAcentral lists this ribosomal RNA (164 nucleotides) under Eulophia picta. RNAcentral's name for it is "Geodorum densiflorum 5.8S ribosomal RNA". It matches the Rfam family "5.8S ribosomal RNA". Rfam says of the family: 5.8S ribosomal RNA (5.8S rRNA) is a component of the large subunit of the eukaryotic ribosome. The record is from RNAcentral. Lineage: Eukaryota; Viridiplantae; Streptophyta; Magnoliopsida; Asparagales; Orchidaceae.
GACACGACUCUCGGCAAUGGAUAUCUCGGCUCUCGCAUCGAUGAAGAGCGCAGCGAAAUGCGAUACGUGGUGCGAAUUGCAGAAUCCCGCGAACCAUCGAGUCUUUGAACGCAAGUUGCGCCUGAGGUCAGCUGGCCGAGGGCACGUCCGCCUGGGCGUCAAGC